UCCGAUGUGGUCUAGUGGUUAGGAUUUCUGGGUUUCACCCAGACGGCCCGGUUCGAUUCCGGCAUCGGAG
This 70-nucleotide transfer RNA is filed under the name Mytilus galloprovincialis (Mediterranean mussel). It matches the Rfam family "tRNA". Rfam says of the family: Transfer RNA (tRNA) molecules are approximately 80 nucleotides in length. The record is from Rfam by way of RNAcentral. Lineage: Eukaryota; Metazoa; Mollusca; Bivalvia; Mytilida; Mytilidae.